GGAUCCAGACUUUGAUCAUGGCUCAGGAUGAACGCUAGCUACAGGCUUAACACAUGCAAGACGAGGGGAAACGACAUCGAAAGCUUGCUUUUGAUGGGUGUCGACCGGCGCACAGGUGAGUAACGCGUAUCCAACCUGCCCAUCACUUGGGAAUAACCUUGCGAAAGUAAGACUAAUACCCAAUGAUAUCCCACGAAGGCAUCCGAAUGGGAUUAAAGAUUUAUCGGUGAUGGAUGGGGAUGCGUCUGAUUAGCUUGUUGGCGGGGUAACGGCCCACCAAGGCAACGAUCAGUAGUGGUUCUGAGAGGAAGGUCCCCCACAUUGGAACUGAGACACGGUCCAAACUCCUACGGGAGGCAGCAGUGAGGAAUAUUGGUCAAUGGGCGAGAGCCUGAACCAGCCAAGUAGCGUGCAGGAAGACGGCCCUAUGGGUUGUAAACUGCUUUUAUAAGGGAAUAAAGUGAGUCUCGUGAGACUUUUUGCAUGUACCUUAUGAAUAAGGACCGGCUAAUUCCGUGCCAGCAGCCGCGGUAAUACGGAAGGUCCGGGCGUUAUCCGGAUUUAUUGGGUUUAAAGGGAGCGUAGGCCGGAGAUUAAGCGUGUUGUGAAAUGUAGAGGCUCAACCUCUGCACUGCAGCGCGAACUGGUCUUCUUGAGUACGCACAACGUGGGCGGAAUUCGUGGUGUAGCGGUGAAAUGCUUAGAUAUCACGAAGAACUCCGAUUGCGAAGGCAGCUCACGGGAGCGCAACUGACGCUGAAGCUCGAAAGUGCGGGUAUCGAACAGGAUUAGAUACCCUGGUAGUCCGCACGGUAAACGAUGGAUGCCCGCUGUUGGCCUGAAUAGGUCAGCGGCCAAGCGAAAGCAUUAAGCAUCCCACCUGGGGAGUACGCCGGCAACGGUGCAACUCAAAUGAAUUGACGG
RNAcentral lists this ribosomal RNA (924 nucleotides) under uncultured Bacteroidota bacterium. RNAcentral describes it as "bacterial SSU rRNA". It matches the Rfam family "Bacterial small subunit ribosomal RNA", at positions 1 to 916 of the family's 1533-position model. The record is from RNAcentral. Lineage: Bacteria; Pseudomonadati; Bacteroidota.